AACGUGCCCUUCUCUACGGAAUAGCCUCUGGAAACGGAGAGUAAUACCGUAUACGCCCUUUGGGGGAAAGAUUUAUCGGAGAAGGAUCGGCCCGCGUUAGAUUAGGUAGUUGGUGGGGUAACGGCCUACCAAGCCUACGAUCUAUAGCUGGUUUUAGAGGAUGAUCAGCAACACUGGGACUGAGACACGGCCCAGACUCCUACGGGAGGCAGCAGUGGGGAAUCUUAGACAAUGGGGGCAACCCUGAUCUAGCCAUGCCGCGUGAGUGAUGAAGGCCUUAGGGUCGUAAAGCUCUUUCGCCUGUGAUGAUAAUGACAGUAGCAGGUAAAGAAACCCCGGCUAACUCCGUG
Molecule: ribosomal RNA, 350 nt
Filed under: uncultured bacterium
Lineage: Bacteria
Description: bacterial SSU rRNA
Rfam family: Bacterial small subunit ribosomal RNA
Source: RNAcentral